Molecule: ribosomal RNA, 253 nt
Filed under: uncultured bacterium
Lineage: Bacteria
Description: partial 16S ribosomal RNA
Rfam family: Bacterial small subunit ribosomal RNA
Source: RNAcentral
UACGAAGGGCGCAAGCGUUACUCGGAAUUACUGGGCGUAAAGCGUGCGUAGGUGGCUGUUUAAGUCUGUUGUGAAAGCCCUGGGCUCAACCUGGGAAUUGCAGUGGAUACUGGGCGACUAGAGUGUGGUAGAGGGUAGUGGAAUUCCCGGUGUAGCAGUGAAAUGCGUAGAGAUCGGGAGGAACAUCCAUGGCGAAGGCAGCUACCUGGACCAACACUGACACUGAGGCACGAAAGCGUGGGGAGCAAACAGG